CAGGCAGCGAGAAAACUCGGGUGCCCCCAGUAAGUCUGGAAAAUCCCUAGGUUUCCUGAAAGGGAGCCCAGGAGAUGUGUAAAUGGAUCGUCUCAAAGAGAAAAGAAACUCUUGCACACCUGGCCUCUCAGGAAUGAGAAUGGAAAUCGGUGCUUUGCCCUGUUCUCCAAGGAGCAGGGAGAUGAUCAGGCUCUAAUGGACCCAAAAAAGACGAUCCAAAAAGGAGCAAUCACGUCAUUCCCUGGAUCCACAGUACAAGAAUUGCAAGUGGUGGAAUGGAAACAGUACCAGAUUGGCAGGCAGCAGACACAGGUUCACACACCACGACCAUGGAUGAGAUGGGCGAUCAAUGAGUGAGUGGUUAGCCUCUUCCAGUUCGAAAUUCUAUGGUCCUAUGAAAACUGUGAACAAGAGGCCUUGAGAAAUAUGACUAUGCCUGGAAAAUCUAGGAAGAGCCAGAGGAAAAACAAAUAAACAGAGACAAGGUCAAAGCA
This 494-nucleotide long non-coding RNA is filed under the name Phascolarctos cinereus (koala). RNAcentral's name for it is "lncRNA (ENSPCIG00000032246.1)". The record is from RNAcentral. Lineage: Eukaryota; Metazoa; Chordata; Mammalia; Diprotodontia; Phascolarctidae.